This 220-nucleotide ribosomal RNA is filed under the name uncultured bacterium. Its description in RNAcentral is "partial 16S ribosomal RNA". It matches the Rfam family "Bacterial small subunit ribosomal RNA", at positions 116 to 334 of the family's 1533-position model. The record is from RNAcentral.
CGUGGGCAAUCUGCCCUUCGAUGGGGAAUAACCUCGCGAAAGCGAGGCUAAUUCCGCAUAAAAUUCCGAUGACCUUGGUCCUUGGACUCAAAGCCGUAAGGCGUCGAUGGAGGAGCCCGCGCACGAUUAGCUAGUUGGUGAGGUAACGGCUCACCAAGGCUAUGAUCGUUAGCUGGUCUGAGAGGAUGGCCAGCCACACUGGAACUGAGACACGGUCCAG